RNAcentral lists this long non-coding RNA (1234 nucleotides) under Mytilus galloprovincialis (Mediterranean mussel). The record is from RNAcentral. Lineage: Eukaryota; Metazoa; Mollusca; Bivalvia; Mytilida; Mytilidae.
GUGAAAUAGAAGUCAAUACAUUCUUGCUCAAUCCUGUGUCGCUUUGAAGAUUUCCUGAUUGUCAUGACAUCCUCAGCCUAAGCAAUGUUAUUACUGUAAUUUGAAUUUCAAAAUGACCGUGUGCCGUUUUUUCAACGCACUGGUCAACUCCACGAUAGAUAUCACAUGACUUUGACAAUCAGUAAAUACCACGAAAAAUAUAUUGAUAAGUAAAGAAUUGUCGUAUAAAAAUUAAAUACUCGGGAAAUGGCAAAGUUCACGAAGUCUAGUCUGAUUAAUAAUUUUCCAAAAAAAAACAAAAAAAAAGUCCGCGCAAAGGGGGGGCGUACGCCCUCUACGCCCCCCUCUGAAUCCGCCACUGAAUAUAUAUGAAAAUGUGGAUAAAAAAUUCUAGUCUUAAAUUAUUUUGCUAAAUUUUCAAAAUUGUUCAUUAUCAAAUACCAUAAGUUACUAUGCAGUGGUUUUCAUAUAGUCUUAGCAUUCAGGGACAGUUGUAAAUAGUAUUAUCUCCCCUUAAUUACUCCAUUUAAACUGCACUGCAUUAUGGUUACAUUCCAGUGCCAAAAAAGUUUUAUAUAUUUCUUAGUUAGAAAAGAGCGGUGAAUAAUACAUACAUUUGCAUAUUUAUUAGUCAAAUUUAGUGAUUCAUGUUUUUUGAGACCCCUUUAAAAUUCAGCAGACAUCAAAACUUUCUUUAUUAAAUUUGAGAGUAAACAUUUCUAUAAUUCUGUACACUAUACUUUUUAAGCAGUGCAGUUUCUAUGUUGCCACAACUUUUAUGAUAAGAUAAAAGCUAUUAAAAAACUAAAAAUUUAAUUAAAAUGUGUUAUUUGAUAUGGAUAUGUAAUUACACAUAGUCACACAGCAAACAGUCACUAUUUAUAUUACAUGUCACUUUAUAUAGAAUUAAUGUAUAAUUUUAUAAAGACAAAUUCAUGAAAGGUCAGUGUUUAAUUGAUUGUUAGUUAGAAUAAGAGAUUUCAAAUGAUUUAGUGUAAUUACCAUGGUAACAAAGCUGUUACUCUAGAGUCCAUUAUGUUAUAAGUCAGAAAUUGUUAGAAAUAAAAGCAGUUUAUUAAUGAUUUGUUUGUGUCAUUGCACUUAACUCAUAAAGAAUAUUGUAUAAAACUAGAUGUGUCAAAAUAACACGAAUGGUAAAAAAGUCCAAAGUCUUGUGAUAUCAUCAAAAUGCAGUGGUGUUGAUACAAACAUAAACUUGAUCUGAAACGCAUUA